This 164-nucleotide unclassified non-coding RNA is filed under the name Mus musculus (house mouse). RNAcentral's name for it is "partial derived from hnRNA or mRNA fragment, or novel small non-messenger RNA without known sequence-or structural motifs". The record is from RNAcentral. Lineage: Eukaryota; Metazoa; Chordata; Mammalia; Rodentia; Muridae.
CAAUGAGGUGCUUAGGGACAGAGUACUGCUUUCUGCUCAGGACAUAUGUUUUAUGUCCUGCAGCAUUAAAGGGCACAUAUCUGCUUCCUCCGCUGAGUCGUUGAGAGACGUGAGAGGGAGUAACUUGUACUUGAAAGAUGAGGGCGCUUUACAGACCUGUGUUU